UAGCGGAGGAAAAGAAACCAACCGGGAUUGCCUUAGUAACGGCGAGUGAAGCGGCAAAAGCUCAAAUUUGAAAUCUGGUACCUUCGGUGCCCGAGUUGUAAUUUGGAGAGGGCAACUUUGGGGCCGUUCCUUGUCUAUGUUCCUUGGAACAGGACGUCAUAGAGGGUGAGAAUCCCGUGUGGCGAGGAGUGCGGUUCUUUGUAAAGUGCCUUCGAAGAGUCGAGUUGUUUGGGAAUGCAGCUCUAAGUGGGUGGUAAAUUCCAUCUAAAGCUAAAUAUUGGCGAGAGACCGAUAGCGAACAAGUACAGUGAUGGAAAGAUGAAAAGAACUUUGAAAAGAGAGUGAAAAAGUACGUGAAAUUGUUGAAAGGGAAGGGCAUUUGAUCAGACAUGGUGUUUUGUGCCCUCUGCUCCUUGUGGGUAGGGGAAUCUCGCAUUUCACUGGGCCAGCAUCAGUUUUGGUGGCAGGAUAAAUCCAUAGGAAUGUAGCUUGCCUCGGUAAGUAUUAUAGCCUGUGGGAAUACUGCCAGCUGGGACUGAGGACUGCGACGUAAGUCAAGGAUGCUGGCAUAAUGGUUAUAUGCCGCCCGUCUG
RNAcentral lists this ribosomal RNA (593 nucleotides) under Saccharomyces cerevisiae (brewer's yeast). Its description in RNAcentral is "partial large subunit ribosomal RNA". It matches the Rfam family "Eukaryotic large subunit ribosomal RNA", at positions 48 to 655 of the family's 3401-position model. Lineage: Eukaryota; Fungi; Ascomycota; Saccharomycetes; Saccharomycetales; Saccharomycetaceae. The record is from RNAcentral.